GAGGGUAUAGCUCAAUGGCAGACCACGUGCUUAGUAUGCACAAGGUCCUGGGUUCAAUCCCCAGUACCGCUA
RNAcentral lists this transfer RNA (72 nucleotides) under Camelus bactrianus (Bactrian camel). It matches the Rfam family "tRNA". From Rfam's summary of the family: Transfer RNA (tRNA) molecules are approximately 80 nucleotides in length. Their secondary structure includes four short double-helical elements and three loops (D, anti-codon, and T loops). Further hydrogen bonds mediate the characteristic L-shaped molecular structure. tRNAs have two regions of fundamental functional importance: the anti-codon, which is responsible for specific mRNA codon recognition, and the 3' end, to which the tRNAs corresponding amino acid is attached (by aminoacyl-tRNA synthetases). tRNAs cope with the degeneracy of the genetic code in two manners: having more than one tRNA (with a specific anti-codon) for a particular amino acid; and 'wobble' base-pairing, i.e. permitting non-standard base-pairing at the 3rd anti-codon position. Lineage: Eukaryota; Metazoa; Chordata; Mammalia; Artiodactyla; Camelidae. The record is from Rfam by way of RNAcentral. RNAcentral also lists the same sequence under 1 other name.